CGCGGAGCGACACUUGGUUUGCGGCUGAUGGUGGGACAUCGCCGUGAGGUCUCGCAGGCGGAGUUGGAGCCCGUUCCCGGAAUUGUAAGCAGGACAAUCCUGAGGUGUGGAACUUUUCAAAACAGACCUGAGAUGUCUGGCGUCUGGAGGCCCCGGGUCGUUCCUUCGGCCCAGAAGCGCUCCACCCACAGCUCCGGCUCAAAAGGCUACCACAUGAACCAGCCAGGCCUGGCCUGCUGGAGGGUAAGCAACUGCACAGAGCCCGGAGGAGC
Ailuropoda melanoleuca (giant panda) is the source of this 272-nucleotide long non-coding RNA. RefSeq lists it as uncharacterized. The transcript is spliced from 3 exons. The record is from RefSeq and is a predicted model, not a curated record. Lineage: Eukaryota; Metazoa; Chordata; Mammalia; Carnivora; Ursidae.